Molecule: transfer RNA, 76 nt
Filed under: Paracoccaceae bacterium
Lineage: Bacteria; Pseudomonadati; Pseudomonadota; Alphaproteobacteria; Rhodobacterales; Paracoccaceae
Description: Rhodobacteraceae bacterium (activated sludge metagenome) tRNA-Thr
Rfam family: tRNA
About the family: Transfer RNA (tRNA) molecules are approximately 80 nucleotides in length. Their secondary structure includes four short double-helical elements and three loops (D, anti-codon, and T loops). Further hydrogen bonds mediate the characteristic L-shaped molecular structure. tRNAs have two regions of fundamental functional importance: the anti-codon, which is responsible for specific mRNA codon recognition, and the 3' end, to which the tRNAs corresponding amino acid is attached (by aminoacyl-tRNA synthetases). tRNAs cope with the degeneracy of the genetic code in two manners: having more than one tRNA (with a specific anti-codon) for a particular amino acid; and 'wobble' base-pairing, i.e. permitting non-standard base-pairing at the 3rd anti-codon position.
Source: RNAcentral
GCCGGUGUAGCUCAGUUGGCAGAGCAACGCUCUUGUAAAGCGAAGGUCGGGGGUUCGAGCCCCUCCACCGGCACCA